ACAUAAAUUUACCAUAUAUCACAGUAAUAUUUCUUACUAAAGAUAUUAUAAAGUGUAGCCGGCUGAACCCUCAACCAUCAGUUAUGCUUUCAUGUCAUAACUCCCAGCAUGUGCCCCAGGACCCACGCUCUCAAACCUGUCAGAUGUCAUUCCUGCAAACACAGCCUUGGGCCCAACGACACAUAACUAUGGGAAUGUAUGUGACUUUUUCUCAUUUAAAUCACACGCAUAACACUAUUCAAAUGCUGCGUGAAUAUGAGGGAUUUUCUGAGGGAGCAGUAGCUUACUUGCAGUUUUUUUACUUGUAGGCCCUACUAUAAAAAAAAGUGCAGAUAAACAGCGCCACAGAUUUGACACUUUUUUGGUAAAAUCAACCUAAAAAAUAUCACAUUUAUGGUUCCCUCUACAUAUCAAGAUGAGAAAAAAAUAUUUUAAACGUCGACAAAAUACACGCUUCAGCUUUAAGUGGGACUCGAGUUCGACUCAAAAAGCAAAAUAACCAACAGGUUGGACUUAUUUUCAAGUAGCCUGAACGGUAUUUUAUUUUUGAUUUUUUUUAUUCAACAGAAUAAGUUUUUACACGCAUAUCCAACCUGUUUGAGUUUAAUUAGCACUGACUCGACACACCCUCAUGUGACCACCUGUACCGGUUUUUCCUGAAGAUGUGCCGCAGGCUCCUCGGCCCAAAAUGGGUAAAUGACGAGAAUUAAAGCAAAGCCCAUUGAGCUGUAUUCACACCUGCACGCCGACACACCUAAACCUCGCUGCCCCUUUACUCACGGAGGAGAAGGUUUCGAGGGGAACGCUUUAAAACCCUUCGGAGGCUGUCAGCGCUGAGUAUUGGGUGUGUGAACACCCAUGUUUCGACACGACACGAGCGCUUGGGCCGUUUCUCUCUCAGAUGUUGCAUAAAACCUGGAGUUUCUGACCUGCAGUGCACCUUGCUAGGAAUCGUGGCUGAGAUGAGCAGCAGGAUUUCAGUCAUUGUUUCUAGUAGUGUGCGCUGCAGAUAUGCAGCUUUUACCACGGAGCGCCUUGAAUCAUAUUCACAGUCCUAAGAAGAAAAUGGUCUUCUACUGUAAUUUAUGGCGCACAUAUGUAUAAGGUUUUUUUAUUUUUUUUUAUUUUUUUUUUGGCGCUGGAUGGCAGUAGAGCGCAAGGAAAGCGAGGGAGAGGCACAGGAGAGCGAGUCUGUCACUUGUAAGGAUCUGCACCGUUUACACUCGCAAGUAACCGUGAAAAUCUUUGGCAUGUAGGUGAACCUGCCCAGGAGAGGCAGCUGUUGGCAUUUACACUUCCUCAUUCAUUUGUAAUUGAGGCCUUUAUGCAGAAAACAACCACGCCAGAAUUUGCAUUUCUUCAUUUAUAGCCAUUCAUUUGAAAGUUUCUAUGUAUUCUUGGUUGGGAUGUUUUAUGCAGUUGUUAAGGGUCAAUGACAAAGUACAGAAGCUGUGAAUGUAAGCUGUAUAUCUAUUCAUGAUGGUUCCAUGUGUUUUAAAAACUGUUUUUCAUAAUGGUUUUGACUUAAUGGCCGAAAGUGUUGUAGCCACUGUUGUACCGUGACCAUGAAUGACAAAUAAGUACAUAAAACUAUUAUUUGAAUAAAAAUAUUUGCAAACUUGAGCAGGGAGGCGUGUCAGGGUCGCCUCUGAUAUCUUUUCCUGUUCUGUCACAUGACAAUAAAAUGAAAAGGGGAAA
This is a long non-coding RNA of Cyprinus carpio (common carp), 1698 nucleotides long. RefSeq lists it as uncharacterized. The record is from RefSeq and is a predicted model, not a curated record. NCBI's taxonomy places the organism in Eukaryota, Metazoa, Chordata, Actinopteri, Cypriniformes, Cyprinidae.